This 463-nucleotide unclassified non-coding RNA is filed under the name uncultured Glomus. RNAcentral's name for it is "SSU rRNA". It matches the Rfam family "Eukaryotic small subunit ribosomal RNA", at positions 569 to 1038 of the family's 1831-position model. Lineage: Eukaryota; Fungi; Glomeromycota; Glomeromycetes; Glomerales; Glomeraceae. The record is from RNAcentral.
AGCAGCCGCGGUAAUUCCAGCUCCAAUAGCGUAUAUUAAGGUUGUUGCAGUUAAAAAGCUCGUAGUUGAAUUUCGGGAUCAAAGGAUCGGUCAUGCCUUGGUAUGUACUGGUUUUAUUGGUUCUCACCUUCUAAAGAACCAUAAUGUCAUUCAUUUGAUGUUAUGGGGAAUUAGGACUGUUACCUUGAAAAAUUAGAGUGUUUAAAGCAGGCUCGCGCUUGAAUACAUUAGCAUGGAAUAAUGAAAUAGGACGUUUGAUUCUAUUUUGUUGGUUUCUAGGAUCGACGUAAUGAUUAAUAGGGAUAGUUGGGGGCAUUAGUAUUCAAUUGUCAGAGGUGAAAUUCUUGGAUUUAUUGAAGACUAACUACUGCGAAAGCAUUUGCCAAGGAUGUUUUCAUUAAUCAAGAACGAAAGUUAGGGGAUCGAAGACGAUCAGAUACCGUCGUAGUCUUAACCAUAACUA